Gallus gallus (chicken) is the source of this 1451-nucleotide long non-coding RNA. RefSeq lists it as uncharacterized. The transcript is spliced from 3 exons. The record is from RefSeq and is a predicted model, not a curated record. Lineage: Eukaryota; Metazoa; Chordata; Aves; Galliformes; Phasianidae.
UUUUUUUCAUCUGGGAUUUCUUUUUGAGGACACACACAUCUAUACACAUAUAUAUCUGUCUAUAAUCUGUCCAUCCCUGCAGACUCUAAUUGUCUGCAUUUCUUAACAUUGGGAAUCCUGGUAUAGUACAGUCAAAACCCACAAAGAAUGGCAUACUGCAUACCACAGAUUUUCUCUAUGCAUGAAAAAAAUCAAAUAUUUCUGAAAAGUAAUUAGUUUGAGAAUUCUUUAUACAGAAUGCUUGCACACUGUUACUGGGAACAGACAAGACAGCCAUCACUUAAGUCAGACAAAUAUUACAUAUAGCAGCUACUCAGUGGGGUAUUACCUGUGCUUCACACAGGUACUGUGUCAGCCCGUGUUUCACAGCUUAUCCCCAGAAAUCUUUAGAGUACUGUAAGUCUAGAAUUGAGGAUAGUGGACAUAUGGGAUUCAAGAUUAAAAACAAACAAACAAACAAAGGCAUUGAAGUUUACUCGACAGACAGGAAACAUACUCAGAGUAAGGCUGAUCAGCUACCUUGUGCUCCUCUUCUUUCAGAAAUUCAGUGCAAUUACUACAUUUAAUGCAAAGACACAGUAGUAAUUAAAUGUAUGAGACACUACCCCUGAUAUUUAACAGAUCAAAUCCCCUAAAGUGUAAAGCCAUGUAGACAUGACACGCUACAGACAAAAUAAGCGAAUGUUAUCAAAAGGUAAAUACUUGGAUAAGGGAAAAUGUGGGUUGGAUUUUGUCUAAAAUAGUCAGACAUGCAAAGCAAAAUCUGUACAACUGAUAAAACACUGAGUAGCUACUGAUUUUGCUGUAUUCAGAAGAUCUGAAUCUUUUCUCUACUUGGCAACUAGAAACAAUGUAAUUAGAAUUAGUCAGCAUAAACCAGUUUAAUACUAACAAAACACUUAGAUCCUCCUCUUUUCUUAAGCAAUAUGAAUACUAGAGCAUAAAGAUUAAAGCAUGUAAAUAGCCAAAGUUAAGUCAGUGGGCUACAUUUUGCUGAUCAUUAUGUACAAGUAACCACAUCAAAACCAACGGAAAGCACAAGAAUGAACAACCUCUGGCCUCUACAGCCUAAGCUGGAAACAUCCAACUGAACUCAUGCUCUCAGUUUUUCAUAUCUGUCUUAGUUUCAGCUGGGAUGCCUUUAACAGAGGCAGAGGCUCAGAACAAAAGUCCCAUCUCCAGCAGCGGCAGUGUUUAACAGCUAUGGAAGAUGGUUGAAAAAGAAUCAUCCACCACCAGGCUAAAAUUACACCAUCAGUCUUAAUAACAAUGACUACGUUUAUCAGCAGUUGAAGCAGUGAUCCCAUAGGAACCCCAAGCAGUUGCAGCUGUUGGGAGAAGCCAUUGCUGCUUUCACUGAUGCUAGUCACACUCCAGACACCCUUAAGGAAAACCACAAGCCACACAGCUUCAUCCCUGAGGUUCUUCAAAGAUAGUUCAGUUAUAAUUUG